UUCUACCCUCUCGAUCCAUUCACACUCCAUAGAAGUGAAGAGCUUCUUCCUCUCUCCGUCCACGCUUUCUCCAUCGCAGGAGCUUCUUUUACCGCCGCCGUUCUCUCCAUCGCUCCGUCCACGAUCUCAUCACUGAACUCAGCAAUGGUCAUUCGCUGGUCAUCCUCAUCCACCAGUUCAGGUAUGGCUUCAGGAAUUGAAACUAUUACACACCAAACAAACCAACAAACCCUAGCAACAACAUUAUCAAUCUUACUCUCACAACCAUUUGCAAUCAUCUGUUCAGUUUAGUUGAGAAUUAUAGAAGGGUCAAUCAGUUGCCGUUAAAGAAAUGGAUUCACAGCUUCAAUUUUUUUCAAAUACUAAACAAAGCAAUGAUUUUUUUUGGAAGAACUUAGAAAAUUGUAAUAGUACUGGAAUAAAAUUUAUUUAUUUAUUUAUUUCUGAAAUAAAUGGUUUUUAGAUUUGGAUUGAAGAUGGUUUGAAAGGGUAAAAAUAGGAGGAAGUGAGCAUUUACAAGCUUUGCUGGUUGGUGAAACAUGACCUACAAUUCAAGAUCUUUCUCUCAUCAAGGUCCCCACAGUCAUUAAUUGAAGCUUAAAAACAAGAAGUUUUGGUGUUUGAGCUGUGUUUGUAACAUCCUAAAAUUGGGAGAAGAAGGACAAGCUGAGAAAGAAGCCAAGGAAGGAAGAUCUAAGAUUCUCCAAGUUCUGUUGCAAACUAGCCACAUUCUCCCUUAAAGCUUCAUUUUUUAGCUUCAAAAAAGUAGGAUAUUCUUGUUUAAUUGAUUUAGUUGAAUGCAUGUGAGUGUAGGCUAAUUAGCAAGUAGGCUUGCUUUUGGCUGGGUAGGAAGAUCAUUGAUUCUUGUUUUAGUUUAAUACAUAUUGGUCUAGGAUAAUUAUUUGUGAUUAUAUGUCUUUUCAUGUGAUGUUUUACAGUUUGAUUAUUGAUUCACUUUUAAUUUGUUGGAUUAUCUGAUUUAUGUUGAUGAUGAUA
Molecule: non-coding RNA, 996 nt
Organism: Arachis ipaensis
Lineage: Eukaryota; Viridiplantae; Streptophyta; Magnoliopsida; Fabales; Fabaceae
Source: RefSeq, a predicted model, not a curated record